RNAcentral lists this ribosomal RNA (464 nucleotides) under uncultured bacterium. RNAcentral's name for it is "partial 16S ribosomal RNA". It matches the Rfam family "Bacterial small subunit ribosomal RNA", at positions 28 to 507 of the family's 1533-position model. The record is from RNAcentral.
GACGAACGCUGGCGGCGUGCUUAACACAUGCAAGUCGAACGGAAAGGCCCAGCUCGCUGUGUGCUCGAGUGGCGAACGGGCGAGUAACUCGUGGGUGAGCUGCCUCUAACUUCGGCUUAAGCAUGGUCAACUGGCUCUAAUACCUGCUAGGUCAAUCUUCUAGCGUCGUGUGUGGAAAGUGUUUGCGGUUAGUGAUGAGCCUGCGGCCUAUCAGCUCGUUGGUGGGGUAAUGGCCUACCAAGGCGGCGACGGGUAGCCGGCCUGAGAGGGUGGACGGCCACAUUGGGACUGAGAGACGGCGCAGACGCCAACGGGAGGCAGCAGUGGGGAAUAUGACAGAAUGGCGGCAAGCGUGAUGCAGCGACGCCGCGUGGGGGAUGACGGCCUUCGGGUUGUAAACAUCUGUCGACAGAGACGAAGAUUUGGUGACGGUACCUGUAUAGGAAGCACCGGCUAACUACGUG